AAUAGAUGACGCCGUUGACUUUUUCUCACAUGUUUGACCAUUCGUCUUAUUCAAAAAAUUUACAUAAUUAUAAUUUAUUUUGUUAUGAAUUGUUUUAUUACUCAUACUACUUUAAGUGUGAUUUAUAUUUUAUACAUUUGCAUAUUUUUUUUAAAUAAGACGAAUGGUCAAACAUGUGAGAAAAAGUUAACGGCGUCAUCUAUU
RNAcentral lists this microRNA precursor (204 nucleotides) under Oryza rufipogon (brownbeard rice). Its description in RNAcentral is "MIR812 microRNA precursor family". It matches the Rfam family "MIR812 microRNA precursor family". The record is from Rfam by way of RNAcentral. Lineage: Eukaryota; Viridiplantae; Streptophyta; Magnoliopsida; Poales; Poaceae.